Molecule: ribosomal RNA, 274 nt
Filed under: uncultured bacterium
Lineage: Bacteria
Description: partial 16S ribosomal RNA
Rfam family: Bacterial small subunit ribosomal RNA
Source: RNAcentral
AUACGGAGGGUGCAAGCGUUAUUCGGAAUCACUGGGCGUAAAGGACGCGUAGGCGGGUUGGCAAGGCAGAUGUGAAAUCCUACAGCUUAACUGUAGAACUGCAUUUGAAACUGCUAACCUAGAGUAUGGGAGGGGGAGAUGGAAUUAGUGGUGUAGGGGUAAAAUCCGUAGAUAUCACUAGGAAUACCAAAAGCGAAGGCGAUCUUCUGGAACAGUACUGACGCUGAGGCGCGAAAGCGUGGGGAGCAAACAGGAUUAGAAACCCUAGUAGUCC